Molecule: ribosomal RNA, 1475 nt
Filed under: metagenome
Description: bacterial SSU rRNA
Rfam family: Bacterial small subunit ribosomal RNA
Source: RNAcentral
AGAGUUUGAUCCUGGCUCAGGACGAACGCUGGCGGCGUGCUUAACACAUGCAAGUCGAACGAAUAUCUAUCUUCGGAUAGUGAAGAGUGGCGAACGGGUGAGUAACACGUGGGCAAUCUGCCCCUCACAUCAGGACAACCUCGGGAAACUGGGGCUAAUACUGAAUACCCAAUCAUACAGGCAUCUGUUUGAUUGGAAAGGAUUCUGGUGAGGGAUGAGCCCGCGGCCUAUCAGCUUGUUGGUGGGGUAAUGGCCUACCAAGGCGACGACGGGUAACCGGCCUGAGAGGGCGACCGGUCACACUGGGACUGAGACAGGGCCCAGACUCCUACGGGAGGCAGCAGUGGGGAAUAUUGCGCAAUGGACGAAAGUCUGACGCAGCAACGCCGCGUGAGGGAUGAAGUACAUAGAGAUGUAAACCUCUUUCAGCAGGGACGAAGCUAACGUGACGGUACCUGCAGAAGAAGCACCGGCUAACUACGUGCCAGCAGCCGCGGUAAUACGUAGGGUGCAAGCGUUGUCCGGAUUUAUUGGGCGUAAAGGGCUCGUAGGCUGUCUGUCGCGUCGGAUGUGAAAACUCGGAGCUUAACUCCGGGCCUGCAUUCGAUACGGGCAGACUAGAGUUCGGUAGGGGAGAUUGGAAUUCCUGGUGUAGCGGUGGAAUGCGCAGAUAUCAGGAGGAACACCGAUGGCGAAGGCAGAUCUCUGGGCCGAUACUGACGCUGAGGAGCGAAAGCAUGGGGAGCAAACAGGAUUAGAUACCCUGGUAGUCCAUGCCGUAAACGGUGGGCGCUAGGUGUGGGGAGCAGUUUACGCUUUCCGCGCCGCAGCUAACGCAUCAAGCGCCCCGCCUGGGGAGUACGGCCGCAAGGCUAAAACUCAAAGGAAUUGACGGGGGCCCGCACAAGCGGCGGAGCAUGCGGCUUAAUUCGAUGCAACGCGAAGAACCUUACCUAGACUUGACAUAUACCGUUUACCUUCAGAAAUGUUGGGUCCUUCGGGGCGGUAUACAGGUGGUGCAUGGCUGUCGUCAGCUCGUGUCGUGAGAUGUUGGGUUAAGUCCCGCAACGAGCGCAACCCUUAUUCUAUGUUGCCAGCGCGUAAUGGCGGGGACUCAUAGGAGACUGCCGGGGUCAACUCGGAGGAAGGUGGGGACGACGUCAAGUCAUCAUGCCCCUUAUGUCUAGGGCUGCACGCAUGCUACAAUGGCCGGUACAGAGGGCUGCAAAACCGCAAGGUUGAGCGAAUCCCACAAGGCCGGUCUCAGUUCGGAUUGGGGUCUGCAACUCGACCCCAUGAAGUCGGAGUCGCUAGUAUCGCAGAUCAGCAACGCUGCGGUGAAUACGUUCCCGGGCCUUGUACACACCGCCCGUCACGUCACGAAAGUCGGUAACACCCGAAGCCGGUGGCCUAACCCUUGUGGAGGGAGCCGUCGAAGGUGGGGCUGGCGAUUGGGACGAAGUCGUAACAAGGUA